This 404-nucleotide ribosomal RNA is filed under the name uncultured Mycobacterium sp. Its description in RNAcentral is "bacterial SSU rRNA". It matches the Rfam family "Bacterial small subunit ribosomal RNA", at positions 338 to 734 of the family's 1533-position model. Lineage: Bacteria; Bacillati; Actinomycetota; Actinomycetes; Mycobacteriales; Mycobacteriaceae. The record is from RNAcentral.
CCUACGGGGGGCAGCAGUGGGGAAUUUUGGACAAUGGGCGCAAGCCUGAUCCAGCAAUGCCGCGUGCAGGAUGAAGGCCUUCGGGUUGUAAACUGCUUUUGUACGGAACGAAAAGCCCUGGGUUAAUACCCUGGGGUCAUGACGGUACCGUAAGAAUAAGCACCGGCUAACUACGUGCCAGCAGCCGCGGUAAUACGUAGGGUGCGAGCGUUAAUCGGAAUUACUGGGCGUAAAGCGUGCGCAGGCGGUUUUGUAAGACAGAGGUGAAAUCCCCGGGCUCAACCUGGGAACUGCCUUUGUGACUGCAAGGCUAGAGUACGGCAGAGGGGGAUGGAAUUCCGCGUGUAGCAGUGAAAUGCGUAGAUAUGCGGAGGAACACCGAUGGCGAAGGCAAUCCCCUGGGC